This 381-nucleotide long non-coding RNA is filed under the name Phoenix dactylifera (date palm). RNAcentral's name for it is "long non-coding RNA (PDAC_LNC016358)". The record is from RNAcentral. Lineage: Eukaryota; Viridiplantae; Streptophyta; Magnoliopsida; Arecales; Arecaceae.
GAAAUUUCAGAUCUUAAAAAAAAAAAUCUCGAGGAAAAGAAAUGCUCUUGUUGCUGCAUUAUAUAGAUCUUCGCCCAACUUGAGGGCGACGCUGUAGUUGUGCCUCCACAGCAUCCAUCUUUUGUACCAUAACAACAAGUUGAUUGGUGAUUCUAGCCAACAUCUCGUCUUCUUCUCAAUCGUCAUCAUAGGGACGACUGUUUCUCAUACUUAUGAAGGUAGAGUACCUAAGUUGAUGUUGAUCGACAUUGUAGAGACGGACACUUCUCAUACUUAUGAAGGUAGAGUACCAAAGUUGAUGUUGAUCGGCGUUGUAGGGACGACCGCUUCUCGUACUCAUGGUGGUAGAGUACCUAAGUUGAUGAUGAGCAUUAUAGGGAU